Molecule: ribosomal RNA, 445 nt
Filed under: uncultured bacterium
Lineage: Bacteria
Description: partial 16S ribosomal RNA
Rfam family: Bacterial small subunit ribosomal RNA
Source: RNAcentral
CCUACGGGUGGCAGCAGUGGGGAAUAUUGGGCAAUGGGCGCAAGCCUGACCCAGCAACGCCGCGUGAAGGAAGAAGGCUUUCGGGUUGUAAACUUCUUUUCUCAGGGACGAAGCAAGUGACGGUACCUGAGGAAUAAGCCACGGCUAACUACGUGCCAGCAGCCGCGGUAAUACGUAGGUGGCAAGCGUUAUCCGGAGUGACUGGGUGUAAAGAGUUGCGUAGGUGGCAUAAUAAGUAGCUAGUGAAAUCUGGUGGCUCAACCAUUCAGACUAUUAGCUAAACUGUUAAGCUCGAGACCGUUAGGGGUAACUGGAAUUUCUAGUGUAGGAGUGAAAUCCGUAGAUAUUAGAAAGAACACCAAUAGCGUAGGCAGGUUACUGGGACGGUUCUGACACUAAGGCACGAAAGCGUAGGGAGCAAACGGGAUUAGAUACCCUUGUAGUC